GGGCCGGUAGCUCAGUGGUUAGAGCAGGCGACUCAUAAUCGCUCGGUCGGGAGUUCGAUCCUCCCCCGGCCCACCA
This 76-nucleotide transfer RNA is filed under the name Actinomycetes bacterium. Its description in RNAcentral is "tRNA-Ile". It matches the Rfam family "tRNA". Rfam says of the family: Transfer RNA (tRNA) molecules are approximately 80 nucleotides in length. The record is from RNAcentral. Lineage: Bacteria; Bacillati; Actinomycetota; Actinomycetes. RNAcentral also lists the same sequence under 4 other names.